CCUACGGGAGGCAGCAGUAGGGAAUAUUGCUCAAUGGGGGAAACCCUGAAGCAGCAACGCCGCGUGGAGGAUGAAGGUUUUCGGAUUGUAAACUCCUUUUGUUAGAGAAGAUAAUGACGGUAUCUAACGAAUAAGCACCGGCCAAAUCCGUUACAGCACCCGCGGUAAUAUGGCGGGGGCAGGCGUUACUCGGAAUCACUGGGCGUAAAGAGGGCGUAGGCGGGUUAGCAAGUCAGAUGUGAAAGCCUAUGGCUGAACCAUAGAACUGCAUUUGAAACUGGUAUUCUAGAGUAUGUGAGAGGUAGGUGGAAUUCGUGGUGUAGGGGUAAAAUCCGUAGAGAUCAAGCGGAAUACUCAUUGCGAAGGCGACCUGCUAGAACAUAACUGACGCUGAUGCGCGAAAGCGUGGGGAGCGAACAGGAUUAGAUACCCCAGUAGUC
This 440-nucleotide ribosomal RNA is filed under the name uncultured bacterium. RNAcentral's name for it is "partial 16S ribosomal RNA". It matches the Rfam family "Bacterial small subunit ribosomal RNA", at positions 338 to 795 of the family's 1533-position model. The record is from RNAcentral.